GGAGGGUGCGAGCGUUAAUCGGAAUUACUGGGCGUAAAGCGCAUGCAGGUGGUGUGUUAAGUCAGAUGUGAAAGCCCGGGGCUCAACCUCGGAAUAGCAUUUGAAACUGGCAGACUAGAGUACUGUAGAGGGGGGUAGAAUUUCAGGUGUAGCGGUGAAAUGCGUAGAGAUCUGAAGGAAUACCGGUGGCGAAGGCGGCCCCCUGGACAGAUACUGACACUCAGAUGCGAAAGCGUGGGGAGCAAACAGGAUUAGAUACCCUGGUAGUCCACGCCGUAAACGAUGUCUACUUGGAGGUUGUGGCCUUGAGCCGUGGCUUUCGGAGCUAACGCGUUAAGUAGACCGCCUGGGGAGUACGGUCGCAAG
RNAcentral lists this ribosomal RNA (366 nucleotides) under bacterium MS2. Its description in RNAcentral is "bacterial SSU rRNA". It matches the Rfam family "Bacterial small subunit ribosomal RNA", at positions 527 to 892 of the family's 1533-position model. RNAcentral also lists the same sequence under 1 other name. The record is from RNAcentral.